Molecule: ribosomal RNA, 396 nt
Filed under: uncultured bacterium
Lineage: Bacteria
Description: partial 16S ribosomal RNA
Rfam family: Bacterial small subunit ribosomal RNA
Source: RNAcentral
AUACGGAGGGUGCAAGCGUUAAUCGGAAUUACUGGGCGUAAAGCGCACGCAGGCGGUUUGUUAAGUCAGAUGUGAAAUCCCCGGGCUCAACCUGGGAACUGCAUCUGAUACUGGCAAGCUUGAGUCUCGUAGAGGGGGGUAGAAUUCCAGGUGUAGCGGUGAAAUGCGUAGAGAUCCGGAGGAAUACCGGUGGCGAAGGCGGCCCCCUGAACGAAGACUGACGCUCAGGUGCGAAAGCGUGGGGAGCAAACAGGAUUAGAUCCCCUGGUAGUCCACGCCGUAAACGAUGUCGACUUGGAGGUUGUGCCCUUGAGGCGUGGCUUCCGGAGCUAACGCGUUAAGUCGACCGCCUGGGGAGUACGGCCGCAAGGUUAAAACUCAAAUGAAUUGACGGGG